AUUAGAAUACCAAAUGUGAAUGAAUUGUUAACCUAUAGUUUUGUCUAAUUUACUGAAGAAAUAAAGCAUGAAUGAGCUUUUUCAUUUUCAGAGGGUUAGAAAGAAAUCAAAUGGAAAAAUAACAAAACUAGAAUAGCCAAUCAGAGGCUACAAACUACAAACUAAUGCUCUGAGUUGGAUACUCAUGAAACCGCAUAUGUUGUCAACCCCUAUUAGAUAGACACUCAAAUUCCACCACCUUAAUUGAGAAGUAAACAAUUGAAACACCAAAUACAAGCCAUCCUUUCAACCAAAUACAGGGUAAAUUGGUUUUA
This 314-nucleotide unclassified non-coding RNA is filed under the name Hevea brasiliensis (rubber tree). The record is from RNAcentral. Lineage: Eukaryota; Viridiplantae; Streptophyta; Magnoliopsida; Malpighiales; Euphorbiaceae.